GAUGAACGCUGGCGGCGUGCCUAAUACAUGCAAGUCGAGCGAACAGACGAGGAGCUUGCUCCUCUGACGUUAGCGGCGGACGGGUGAGUAACACGUGGAUAACCCACCUAUAAGACUGGGAAAACUUCGGGAAAGCGGAGCUAAUACCGGAUAAUAUAUUGAACCGCAGGGUUGAAUAGAGAAAGACGGCGUUGCGGGCACUAAUAGAGGGAUACGCGCCGCAUUAGCUAGUUGGUAAGGUAAAGGCUUACGAAGGCAACGAUGCGUAGGAGACCGGAGAGGCGGAUAGCCCGCCUUGGAGCUUGACCGCGGUCCUGACUCCUGCGGGAGGCAGCAGUAGCGUAUCUUCCGCAGUGGGCGGGAGCCUUGCAGAACGGCGCCACGUGUGUGAUGGAGGUCUUCCGAUCGUGAUGAUCUGUUUUUGGGGGAGAACAACUGUGUAAGUUACUGUACCCGUCUUGACGGUACCUAGUCAGAAAGCCCCGGCUAACUACGUG
This 497-nucleotide ribosomal RNA is filed under the name uncultured bacterium. RNAcentral describes it as "partial 16S ribosomal RNA". It matches the Rfam family "Bacterial small subunit ribosomal RNA", at positions 28 to 507 of the family's 1533-position model. The record is from RNAcentral.